This 1566-nucleotide long non-coding RNA is filed under the name Citrus sinensis (sweet orange). Its description in RNAcentral is "long non-coding RNA (CSIN_LNC005250)". Lineage: Eukaryota; Viridiplantae; Streptophyta; Magnoliopsida; Sapindales; Rutaceae. The record is from RNAcentral.
UCAAAUCCUAACAGUGCCACAGGUUUCUACUUCAGGAUGUGCCUCAGCUAUAUCUCCACCAGCAGUUGUUCAAGAAGCAGGCUCCAACCUUCAUUGUCCAACAGACCGAAAGCACCACAUCCUUUCACCAAACCAAGAGACCAACACUACAGAACCUAAAACACCAUAACCAAACAUGAAAAACUCAGAAACAACAGCAGAAAGUACCCAAAACACUGCAGCUACAGAGUCAAUAAGCAAGCCAAAAACACUUCUCCCUAGUCACCCUAUGAUCACAAGAGCCAAGUCUGGGAUAUAUAAACCCAAAAUUUACAUAGCAAAAAGAUUAGCAAGAGAGAAAAUUGACACUCCAGCAAGUGUAGAAGACGCAUUGAAAAAUAAAAAAAUGGGAGACAACCAUGAGGGAAGAGUUUGAAGCACUUCAGAAAAACAGAACCUGGGAAUUGGUUCCACCCUCUCGAGAUCAAAAGGUAGUAGGAAAUAAAUGGGUUUACAAGGUGAAGUAUAAUCCAGAUAGCAUUGUGGCAAGGUAUAAAGUGAGACUUGUGGCUAAAGGGUUUCAUCAAACAGCGGGCAUCAAUUUUAACGAAACCUUCAGUCUAGUGGCCAAAUCACCAACUAUCAUAAUUGUGUUGAACCUAGCUGUUAUGAACAACUGGGAUAUCAAACAAGUGGACAUGAAUAAUGCAUUCUUGCAUGGUGAACUAUGUGAAGAAGUUUUUAUAAGUCAACCGAAAGGCUUCGAGGACAAAAGAAAGCCACAAUAUAUUUGCAAGUUAAAAAAGGCACUCUAUGGCCUCAAACAGACUCCAAGGGCCUGGUAUAAUAAGCUCAGUUUAGCCCUUAAAGACUGGGGGUUCAAAAACUCAAUAUCAGACACCUCACUAUCUUUUUAUGAACAAAGAUGGAGAUACAGUGCUGCUACUUGUGUAUGUAGAUGACAUACUACUCACAAGAAGUAAUAGUAGGAUAAUUGACGAUGUGAUUCAGAAGCUGAAUAAAAGCUUCUCUCUGAAGGAUCUUGGCUCACUAAAAUACUUCUUGGGAAUUGAAGUAGAAAGGAUUGCCGAGGGAAUGCAUCUAUCGCAAGGGAAAUACAUCACUGACCUCCUAAAACGAACAGGAAUGGAAAAUUACAAAAGCCUGCCUACACCAAUGAGCACAAGUACCAAGUUGAGAAAGGAAUGAGGGAAAGCCUUCAGUGACAAUAUCUUGUACAUGAGUGUAAUUGGAGGCAUACAAUAUGCUACCUUAACAAGGCCUGAAAUAACAUAUGCAGUGAACACGCUAAGUCAAUAUUUAGAAGCACCUAAACAAACUCACUGGGAGGGGUGUAAGAGAAUUCUCAGAUACUUGAAAGGAACCUUAAAUUAUGGCCUACACUUCACACCAAAAGGAAAACCAGGACUGAUGUGUUUCACUGAUACAGAUUGGGCCAGUGAUCAAGAUGACAGACGGUCUACUGGUGGUUACUGCACCUUCCUUGGUGGUAAUCUAGUCUCAUGGAGAUCGAAAAAAUAGAAGGUGGUGGCACGCUCUAGCACUGAAUCAGAAUAUAGGUCCCUU